Long non-coding RNA from Centruroides sculpturatus (bark scorpion), 248 nucleotides. RefSeq lists it as uncharacterized. The record is from RefSeq and is a predicted model, not a curated record. The transcript has 4 exons. NCBI's taxonomy places the organism in Eukaryota, Metazoa, Arthropoda, Arachnida, Scorpiones, Buthidae.
AUUUAAUUUCAGAUUCUGAUACCGCCUAAAGAUUUAAUAAACAAACUGAAACAGGAAGCUGACACACCAAAAUUGGUAUUGGAUCAAGUAAAAUACAGAGUAGAGUGGACUAAACAUCAAGAAGCUAUUAAAAGACGGGAAGAGGAGGAGGCUGAAAGGGAAAGAGUUCAGUAUGCUCAAAUUGACUGGCAUGAUUUUGUUGUUGUGGAAACUGUUGAUUAUCAACCAAAUGAACAAGGACUUUUUCC